CAAACAAAAUGUAUCUCGUUCCACAAAAUAUUUAGAAUCCUGCCCAGACCAAUAAUGAAGCAAAAAAACAAGUCCCAACAACCUACUUAAGCCCAUAUAUAAAUCUGGCAUAGAAUCAAAUUUUCAUCUGCUUAGCCAAUAAAACUAGUUUUAAAAACUGCAACAAAACCCACUUGAUGAACCUGUUUAAUUCACCAAAAACAUACUUCAUGAGAUGAGACCAUCAUUCAGGGAUAGUGAGGCAAGCUGAUCAACAGGGUUUGUUGCCUGCUGCUGAGCAGCAACACUCCUUAGCACCUCCAUAGCCUCUGCUACUUUAGCCUUUAAAGCCUCCGGUGAUUCAAGCAGGUGUAAAACCUCAGUCUGAUCCAUCUCCAAAAGCAUGCCUGUAAC
Molecule: unclassified non-coding RNA, 393 nt
Filed under: Hevea brasiliensis (rubber tree)
Lineage: Eukaryota; Viridiplantae; Streptophyta; Magnoliopsida; Malpighiales; Euphorbiaceae
Source: RNAcentral